GUCGAGCGGUAGCACAGAGAGCUUGCUCUCGGGUGACGAGCGGCGGACGGGUGAGUAAUGUCUGGGAAACUGCCUGAUGGAGGGGGAUAACUACUGGAAACGGUAGCUAAUACCGCAUAACGUCGCAAGACCAAAGUGGGGGACCUUCGGGCCUCAUGCCAUCAGAUGUGCCCAGAUGGGAUUAGCUAGUAGGUGGGGUAACGGCUCACCUAGGCGACGAUCCCUAGCUGGUCUGAGAGGAUGACCAGCCACACUGGAACUGAGACACGGUCCAGACUCCUACGGGAGGCAGCAGUGGGGAAUAUUGCACAAUGGGCGCAAGCCUGAUGCAGCCAUGCCGCGUGUAUGAAGAAGGCCUUCGGGUUGUAAAGUACUUUCAGCGGGGAGGAAGGCGAUAAGGUUAAUAACCUUGUCGAUUGACGUUACCCGCAGAAGAAGCACCGGCUAACUCCGUGCCAGCAGCCGCGGUAAUACGGAGGGUGCAAGCGUUAAUCGGAAUUACUGGGCGUAAAGCGCACGCAGGCGGUCUGUCAAGUCGGAUGUGAAAUCCCCGGGCUCAACCUGGGAACUGCAUUCGAAACUGGCAGGCUAGAGUCUUGUAGAGGGGGGUAGAAUUCCAGGUGUAGCGGUGAAAUGCGUAGAGAUCUGGAGGAAUACCGGUGGCGAAAGCGGCCCCCUGGACAAAGACUGACGCUCAGGUGCGAAAGCGUGGGGAGCAAACAGGAUUAGAUACCCUGGUAGUCCACGCCGUAAACGAUGUCGAUUUGGAGGUUGUGCCCUUGAGGCGUGGCUUCCGGAGCUAACACGUUAAAUCGACCGCCUGGGGAGUACGGCCGCAAGGUUAAGACUCAUAUGAAUUGACGGGGGCGCGCACAAGCGGUGGAGCAUGUGGUUUAAUU
This 899-nucleotide ribosomal RNA is filed under the name Klebsiella pneumoniae. RNAcentral describes it as "bacterial SSU rRNA". It matches the Rfam family "Bacterial small subunit ribosomal RNA", at positions 61 to 951 of the family's 1533-position model. The record is from RNAcentral. Lineage: Bacteria; Pseudomonadati; Pseudomonadota; Gammaproteobacteria; Enterobacterales; Enterobacteriaceae.